This 448-nucleotide ribosomal RNA is filed under the name uncultured bacterium. RNAcentral's name for it is "partial 16S ribosomal RNA". It matches the Rfam family "Bacterial small subunit ribosomal RNA", at positions 29 to 523 of the family's 1533-position model. The record is from RNAcentral.
AACGAACGCUGGCGGCAGGCUUAACACAUGCAAGUCGAGCGCCCCGCAAGGGGAGCGGCAGACGGGUGAGUAACGCGUGGGAAUCUACCCUGAUCUGCGGAAUAGCUCCGGGAAACUGGAACUAAUACCGCAUAUGCCCUGAGGGGCAAAGGUUGAUCCGGAUUGGGAUGAGCCCGCGUUGGAUUAGCUAGUUGGUGGGGUAAAGGCCUACCAAGGCGACGAUCCAUAGCUGGUCUAAGAGGAUGAUCAGCCACAUUGGGACUGAGACACGGCCCAAACUCCUACGGGAGGCAGCAGUGGGGAAUAUUGGACAAUGGGCGCAAGCCUGAUCCAGCCAUGCCGCGUGAGUGAUGAAGGCCCUAGGGUUGUAAAGCUCUUUCACCGGGGACGAUAAUGACGGUACCCGGAGAAGAAGCCCCGGCUAACCUCGUGCCAGCCGCCGCCGUAA